UACAUGCAAGUCGAGCGAGAAUCAAGUGAACGGAGAUUCGUCAAAGUGAUCUUGAGGAAAGCGGCGGACGGGUGAGUAACGCGUAUGCAACCUGCCCUUAGCAGAGGGAUAGCCAUUGGAAACGAUGAUUAAAACCUCAUAAUGCUGUUUCAUCACAUGUUGGAACAGCCAAAGAUUUAUCGGCUAAGGAUGGGCCUGCGUCUGAUUAACUAGUUGGUGAGGUAACGGCCCACCAAGGUGACGAUCAGUAGCCGACCUGAGAGGGUGAUCGGCCACAUUGGAACUGAGACACGGUCCAAACUUCUACGGAAGGCAGCAGUAAGGAAUCUUGCACAAUGGGGGAAACCCUGAUGCAGCAACGCCGCGUGAGUGAUGAACGCCUUAGGGUUGUAAAGCUCUGAUCUGGGGGAAGAAGAAGUGACGGUACCCCAGGAGAAAGCCCCGGCUAAAUACGUGCCAGCAGCCGCGGUAAUACGUAUGGGGCAAGCGUUAUCCGGAAUUAUCGGGCGUA
RNAcentral lists this ribosomal RNA (511 nucleotides) under uncultured rumen bacterium. RNAcentral's name for it is "bacterial SSU rRNA". It matches the Rfam family "Bacterial small subunit ribosomal RNA", at positions 52 to 562 of the family's 1533-position model. The record is from RNAcentral.